AUUGAACGCUGGCGGCAGGCCUAACACAUGCAAGUCGAGCGAGCGGCGGACGGGUGAGUAAUGUAUGGGGACUGCCUGAUAGAGGGGGAUAACUACUGGAAACGGUGGCUAAUACCGCAUACUAUCGGAUAACCCAUAUGGGAUUAGCUAGUCGGUGGGGUAAAGGCUCACCUAGGCGACGAUCCCUAGCUGGUCUGAGAGGGUGAUCGGCCACACUGGGACUGAGACACGGCCCAGACUCCUACGGAGGCAGCAGUGGGGAAUAUUGGACAAUGGGCGCAAGCCUGAUGGAGCCAUGCCGCGUGUAUGAAGAAGGCCUUAGGGUUGUAAAGUACUGUCAGCGGGGAGGCGGUACCCGCAGAAGAAGCAACGGCUAACUCCGUGCCAGCAGCCGCGGUAAUAC
This 403-nucleotide ribosomal RNA is filed under the name uncultured bacterium. Its description in RNAcentral is "partial 16S ribosomal RNA". It matches the Rfam family "Bacterial small subunit ribosomal RNA", at positions 29 to 526 of the family's 1533-position model. The record is from RNAcentral.